ACCUCCAACCCAUUGUUGUCCGACUCUGUUGCCUCGGGGGCGACCCGGCGCUUCGGCGCCAGGGGGUCCCCGCUGGUCCACACAACUCUGCAUCUUUGCGUCUGAGUAAACAUUAAAUGAAACAAAACUUUCAACAACGGAUCUCUUGGUUCUGGCAUCGAUGAAGAACGCAGCGAAAUGCGAUAAGUAAUGUGAAUUGCAGAAUUCAGUGAAUCAUCGAAUCUUUGAACGCACAUUGCGCCCCCUGGCAUUCCGGGGGGCAUGCCUGUUCGAGCGUCAUUACACCACUCAAGCCUGGCUUGGUAUUGGAGGUCGCGGUCCGCCGCGCCUCCUAAUGUCGCCGGCCGAGUCGUCUGUCUCCGAGCGUUGUGAAUCUUCAAUUCGCUUUCGAGUACAGGCGGCGCGCGCCGUUAAACCUCUUUUUCAGGUUGACCUCGGAUCAGGUAGGGAUACCCGCUGAACUUAAGCAUAUCAAUAAGCGGAGGAAAAGAAACCAACAGGGAUUGCCCUAGUAACGGCGAGUGAAGCGGCAACAGCUCAAAUUUGAAAUCUGGCGCAAGCCCGAGUUGUAAUUUGUAGAGGAUGCUUCUGGGCAGCGGCUGGUCUAAGUUCCUUGGAACAGGACGUCAUAGAGGGUGAGAAUCCCGUAUGCGACCAGCUGGCACCCGUCACGUAGCUCCUUCGACGAGUCGAGUUGUUUGG
RNAcentral lists this unclassified non-coding RNA (702 nucleotides) under Acrodontium crateriforme. RNAcentral's name for it is "sequence contains ITS1, 5.8S rRNA gene, ITS2, 28S rRNA gene". The stretch from base 430 to 702 matches the Rfam family "Eukaryotic large subunit ribosomal RNA", at positions 1 to 277 of the family's 3401-position model. Lineage: Eukaryota; Fungi; Ascomycota; Dothideomycetes; Mycosphaerellales; Teratosphaeriaceae. The record is from RNAcentral.